UACGAAGGGGGCUAGCGUUGUUCGGAAUCACUGGGCGUAAAGCGCACGCAGGCGGAUCGUUAAGUCGGGGGUGAAAUCCCGAGGCUCAACCUCGGAACUGCCUUCGAUACUGGCGAUCUUUGAGUCCGGGAGAGGUGAGUGGAACUCCGAGUGUAGAGGUGAAAUUCGUAGAUAUUCGGAAGAACACCAGUGGCGAAGGCGGCUCACUGACCCGGUACUGACGCUCAGGUGCGAAAGCGUGGGGAGCAAACAGG
RNAcentral lists this ribosomal RNA (254 nucleotides) under uncultured bacterium. Its description in RNAcentral is "partial 16S ribosomal RNA". It matches the Rfam family "Bacterial small subunit ribosomal RNA", at positions 524 to 776 of the family's 1533-position model. The record is from RNAcentral.